CUUGGUCAUUUAGAGGAAGUAAAAGUCGUAACAAGGUUUUCAUAAAACACACCAUACUGAAGCCUUGAUCCCAGUCUAUUAUAUAGGCAACACCUUUAAUGUGCUUGGAUAUCUAAAAGGUAACAAGCAGCUGCUAACAGCAGUUCACAGAUCAGACAAAGGUGGUCCUUAGGGUAUUGCUAUAGCUAUAUUUAGCUAUAGCCUUAGGAUUUAGAUAUGACCGGCCUACUUUUGUAAAACUAGUAGACUUUGGCGUUCCGUAGGUGAACCUGCGGAAGGAUCAUUA
Molecule: ribosomal RNA, 286 nt
Filed under: uncultured Helotiales
Lineage: Eukaryota; Fungi; Ascomycota; Leotiomycetes; Helotiales
Description: partial 18S ribosomal RNA
Source: RNAcentral